RNAcentral lists this ribosomal RNA (330 nucleotides) under Gloioxanthomyces nitidus. RNAcentral describes it as "eukaryotic LSU rRNA". The stretch from base 1 to 105 matches the Rfam family "5.8S ribosomal RNA", at positions 50 to 154 of the family's 154-position model. The record is from RNAcentral. Lineage: Eukaryota; Fungi; Basidiomycota; Agaricomycetes; Agaricales; Hygrophoraceae.
GAAAUGCGAUACGUAAUGUGAAUUGCAGAAUUCCGUGAAUCAUUGAAUCUUUGAACGCACCUUGCGCCCUUUGGUAUUCCGAAGGGCAUGCCUGUUUGAGUGUCAUUGAACCCUCUCAACUUGAUCUUCAGGUUGGAUUUGGAGAGUGCCGGCACGUUCGGCUCCUCUGAAAAGCAUUAGCGAGCGACCAUUGCGUGUCUGCUUUGGCAUUGAUAAUCUGUCUAUGCCCUGGCGACGCUCGGCGGGUUUGCUUACAACCGGUCCCUUUCUGAGGGACGACGUUCACCCAACAAUCACCUCAAAUCAGGUAGGACUACCCGCUGAACUUAA